GACGUAGGGGGCGAGCGUUGUCCGGAAUUACUGGGCGUAAAGAGCACGUAGGCGGGUAAUUAAGUCAGAUGUGAAAGACCAGGGCCCAACCCUGGGGUUGCAUCUGAAACUGGUUAUCUUGAGGGCAGGAGAGGGCAGUGGAAUUCCUGGUGUAGCGGUGAAAUGCGUAGAAAUCAGGAGGAACACCAGUGGCGAAGGCGGCUGCCUGGACUGACCCUGACGCUGAGGUGCGAAAGCGUGGGUAGCAAACAGGAUUAGAUACC
Molecule: ribosomal RNA, 263 nt
Filed under: uncultured bacterium
Lineage: Bacteria
Description: partial 16S ribosomal RNA
Rfam family: Bacterial small subunit ribosomal RNA
Source: RNAcentral